RNAcentral lists this ribosomal RNA (500 nucleotides) under uncultured bacterium. Its description in RNAcentral is "partial 16S ribosomal RNA". It matches the Rfam family "Bacterial small subunit ribosomal RNA", at positions 30 to 523 of the family's 1533-position model. The record is from RNAcentral.
AUUGAACGCUGGCGGCAUGCCUUACACAUGCAAGUCGAACGGCAGCACGGGAGCAAUCCUGGUGGCGAGUGGCGAACGGGUGAGUAAAGUAUCGGAACGUGCCCAGUCGUGGGGGAUAACGUAGCGAAAGUUACGCUAAUACCGCAUACGAUCUAUGGAUGAAAGCGGGGGAUCGCGAGACCUCGCGCGAUUGGAGCGGCCGAUAUCAGAUUAGGUAGUUGGUGGGGUAAAGGCUCUCCAAGCCGACGAUCUGUAGCUGGUCUGAGAGGACGACCAGCCACACUGGGACUGAGACACGGCCCAGACUCCUACGGGAGGCAGCAGUGGGGAAUUUUGGACAAUGGGCGAAAGCCUGAUCCAGCCAUGCCGCGUGCAGGAUGAAGGCCUUCGGGUUGUAAACUGCUUUUGUACGGAACGAAAAGGUUUGGCCUAAUAAGCUGAGCUCAUGACGGUACCGUAAGAAUAAGCACCGGCUAACUACGUGCCAGCCGCCGCAGUAA